UACGGAAGGCAGCAGUGGGGAAUAUUGCACAAUGGGCGCAAGCCUGAUGCAGCCAUGCCGCGUGUAUGAAGAAGGCCUUCGGGUUGUAAAGUACUUUUCAGCGGGGAGGAAGGCGGUGGAGUUAAUAGCUUCACCGAUUGACGUUACCCGCAGAAGAAGCACCGGCUAACUCCGUGCCAGCAGCCGCGGUAAUACGGAGGGUGCAAGCGUUAAUCGGAAUUACUGGGCGUAAAGCGCACGCAGGCGGUCUGUCAAGUCGGAUGUGAAAUCCCCGGGCUUAACCUGGGAACUGCAUUCGAAACUGGCAGGCUAGAGUCUUGUAGAGGGGGUAGAAUUCCAGGUGUAGCGGUGAAAUGCGUAGAGAUCUGGAGGAAAUCCGGUGGCGAAGGCGGCCCCUGGGACAAAGACUGACGCUCAGGGUGCGAAAGCGUGGGGAGCAAACAGGGAUUAGGAUACC
Molecule: ribosomal RNA, 457 nt
Filed under: uncultured bacterium
Lineage: Bacteria
Description: bacterial SSU rRNA
Rfam family: Bacterial small subunit ribosomal RNA
Source: RNAcentral